UAGGCGUGGGGGCACCCUGACCGCAAUGCCGCGUGAGUGAAGAAGGCCUUCGGGUUGUAAAGCUCUUUUGUCAGGGAAGAAACAGCAGCUCUAACACAGUCUGCGAAUGACGGUACCUGAAGAAUAAGCACCGGCUAACUACGUGCCAGCAGCCGCGGUAAUACGUAGGGUGCGAGCGUUAAUCGGAAUUACUGGGCGUAAAGCGUGCGCAGGCGGUUAUACAAGACAGGCGUGAAAUCCCCGGGCUUAACCUGGGAAUGGCGCCUGUGACUGUAUAGCUAGAGUGUGUCAGAGGGGGGUAGAAUUCCACGUGUAGCAGUGAAAUGCGUAGAUAUGUGGAGGAAUACCAAUGGCGAAGGCAGCCCCCUGGGAUAACACUGACGCUCAUGCACGAAA
This 396-nucleotide ribosomal RNA is filed under the name uncultured bacterium. RNAcentral's name for it is "bacterial SSU rRNA". It matches the Rfam family "Bacterial small subunit ribosomal RNA", at positions 359 to 758 of the family's 1533-position model. The record is from RNAcentral.